UGAUAAAACCUUAACUUAACCCUCGGGCCCUCAGAGUCCCAAACGAGAGUGAGAGGAGAUCUGAGAAGAUGAGAGAUGAGAAAUACAGAGGUGGUUUGGAAGCCCUAACAAUGGCAUUGGCUCUAUGAUCGGAGCCUUCACUGGAGAUCAGAGACAUGAGCGUGAAGAAAGAGAGAGACGACGGGGCAUGAAGAAAAGCUCCUCCAAUGCAAUUCUUGUUUUCCGAGGUUUAACGCCUCGAUGGCCGCCAUUGAUCCACGAUCGGAUCCGUUCAAGAUCUCACCGUUGAAAUCGCGUAGUAAUUAACACCAAGACCAGAGAUCUGAUGGGGCUAGGUACACUCCCUGGCAGCUUACUCAAGAUGCGAUGUGGAUUGAUAGAGGCACUGACAGCGGGCCUUCCAUAUCUUUAAGGAUAUCUAAAACCAGAGCUACCAAGAUUUUGCCUCAAAUUUCCUUUUUUUUAUUUUUAUUUUUUGACUAAUUUGAUCUAAUUUCAAGCAAAAGAAGUGUGUAUAAUAUCAGUUCUUUUAUUUGAGUGCUGCGGAUUGUAGUAA
Long non-coding RNA from Prunus avium (sweet cherry), 556 nucleotides. RefSeq lists it as uncharacterized. The record is from RefSeq and is a predicted model, not a curated record. NCBI's taxonomy places the organism in Eukaryota, Viridiplantae, Streptophyta, Magnoliopsida, Rosales, Rosaceae.